CUUUCUGCAUCCAUUACCCUUUUCAAUGGACUCAUUACUAGUGCUGCUGCAUAUGGAAUUGGUUGGACUCUUAGGAAUGUUGCUGGCUUGGAAGAGUGAUCACUCACUAUUAUGUUGCAAAACUGAUUUUGCUGUUAAAGCAAGCCUAAGGGUCACAAAAGAAGAGAGCACGUGGUGAUUUCCUAGUUUUUAACCAUUCUUGUGACAACAAAAUCGUGUUCUUGAUGUUCUUGAAAUAUUACUGUCCUAACUUAUAUAUUGUCAUUGACUCUUCUCAUGUGAUUAGUCUACUUUUUACGUUAAAGGGUCGAGAUGGGAUAAAAUAACCAAAAUUACUACUGCCUCUUAAGCAGUUUGAAAUCCUGCUUAUUGCGAUCUCUGUUAUAUAGAUCCUUCAUUUGUCUUUAAGUUUGCUUCCUACAAAAGUUAGUACUAAGAAGAGCAGCAAUAUAUGUAGACUUAUUAUAUGCAUUUGCAGGGUAAACGUUUUGUACACUAGUAUAGUGUUGUUUGAUCAAAAAGUGUGACUUUCGGUUAAAAUUAUUGUAUUUAUGUAGUGAUGGUUAAACAUAGUUAAUAAUAAUAUCUCUAAAUGUAAGUUUCGAGAAUGUAGCUAAUCGUUGAAUAGAACUGAUGGGAGAUUGAUAAUAACAGAUAUUAAAUAUUCUAAAAGGUAUCGACAAUAAUGGAGGAGUAACUAACAAUAAAUAACAAUAAAUGAUGUUUAAGUAAAUAGGAGGUGUGAUUCACCCAGUAAAGAAUGAACUACAUGAUUGUUCCUCCUGAUAAUGAUGAGUGACAGAUAAAUCCUACAAUGUUCGAACUGUUCUCGGAUCUGAUGGAAAAAUAUGGAAUAAUAUAAACAAGACUCUUAAUGAAAAAGUAAUGUUUGUAUUUUUGCUAGAGAGAGAAUCUUUCUCAGAAAUAUGUUCUUAUUAAGUGGAUAUUACAUGCCCCUUUUCCUUAUCUUUUGUCCUCUUUAUAUGAGACAUAUCCAUAGUAAACCCUAAUAGUACAUGUACAAGGAACAUUCUUUUCCCUCUAUUAUCCUAUUCUAAAAACUAGCCGUUACAACUCUUUCCGCGGAUCUCGUACUCGACCAUUGUAAUUUGUAAGUAUCCCGACCGAUCGACCUUGGCUGGUUCGUCCCUCAAUACUUUCUUGCCCUAAAUGUUCCCUGGUAGAUUUCGACCUAUACAGUUAGUCCCUCCGCUUAUUGAGGCCUUCUUCAGACGGCCCCGAUGAACGAACUUUGUUGGCUAUGGUCGAGGAGAGUGGACAAGUGGGCCAGGCAGUUAAGUUUGGGACGAUCUGGCAACAUGGCAUUUCGUGAGCCGCAACUUUUGGAGUUGCAUCUUUUCUGCACUAGAAUGAAGUUAUGACAUCAUGCGUCAUUAUGGCGCAUUCUUCCGAUGUUUUUGCGUCGUUUCCCGUGUGACUGUCAGUUGGGGAUGCCAUUUCGAUUCCAGUGCUGGGUAGUAAUGGAAUAAUCUCUUAGUUUUGAUGCCCGAAUUCUUAUAAAUAGAGAUGUGAUGAUAUUCAUUUGUUUUUUUAAGUGUUUUUCUUAUCAUAACAUUGUGUCUUCUUCUCCUUCCUCCACUGCUGUGUGUCUUCUUUCCUGGUCUUAGUGAUUCCUAUUGCUUCUAAUCCUUCUUUGUCUGGAUAUCCUUUAUCUCAUAAAAAAUAUGGCUAAUGUAUCCUCUGGUUCCGGUGUGGGAAUUGACCUCAUCCCUUUGGCGGUACUUAUGCCUCCUCACUCUAAUGGCGUCUCUGUCUCCAUUGAAGAUGAGAACUUUCCUAUGAUAGAGGAAAAAAUUCCUCUUAGCGAGAAAGUUAGGUCUGACUUUUCGAAGGAUCCUGAAGACGAGCCCGAGGCCUCUGAGUCGGCGAUGAAAUAGGCCGAUCUAGCUUAUCGAUUUAGUCCCAGCAGGGCGUGAUGUGGUACAAAUCCUCCGCUUAGGGUAUUGUAGGGGUGAGCAUCGGUCGGUUCGGUUCGGUUAUGAAUAUUAUUGGUUUAGCAUAUCGGUUAUCGGUUUUCAAAUAUGAUAAACCGAUAACAAAACUGAUAAGAUAUUAGUUCGGUUAUCAGUUUACCCUCUACGAUAAUUCAAUCUAGAGUUAAGCAAAAAAGAGAAGACAAUUCACUCGAGUUAAACAAAAAAGAGAAGAAUUCACAUAUAGUAUACUACCCUAUUCUGCGUUCUAGCCACAACUAAUAUUUGAAGAAUGUUUCAUUUUGACAAGUUCAUAACCUGCGCAAUCUCAAAAAUUGAUACUACAACUCCACAAGCAUUCCAUCUCCAUUUUACUGGAAAUAUUAGUUAACAGGAACAUAAAUUACAAUUUUUUGGGUUCCUACCAAACUAUAAUCAAGAGAUCAAUCAUUUUCCAGAAUCCAAUGAUAGCAAGAGCAAUAAGAGUACUAGUAAUUCAAAAGUUGUCCCAACACAACUGAAAUAGUGUUAAUUCUUCAACAAUCCAAAUACAUUAAUCACAAUACAAAGUAGUAGCAAUUUCACCUUAAAAUUAAAAAGUACAAAUAUAGUACUAAAACAUGAGCACAAAAUAAAGAAUUGAAAACAAUCAAAAAUCCUAUAUUUUUAUUAUCGAACUUUACUAUAAAACUCAAAAGAAAGGAACGAAAUUUGUUCUUAAUAAAGAAGUAAUUUGGGAAUACAAAUUUACGCUAAGAUUCUAAGAAUGUGGUUGUACAUUGAAAUUUGAAGAAGAACUGUUCAAAAAUUGAAUCAGAGUCUGAAGAGUGAACAUUGAAACUUCAAUCUUGAAUACGGCUGGGAAAAUUAGGAGAAAAAAAAGAGAAUGAAGCCCUAGAAAUUGGGUAAAAUCCUAAUUUUAUUAAAUCUUAUUGUGUCAUUGGUUAACCCAUUAAGAAAUUGGGUAACCCGUGGCCCAAACCGAUAACCCAAUAGUGAAAAAAUACAAAACUGUUAUCAAACCAAUAACCCGAUUACCCGAUAUCGAUACCCCAAUAAGCUUUUAUCGGUUCGGGCUAUCGAUUAUACCUGAUAUAUGCCAGCCCUAGGGUACUGUGCAUUCUAUGCAUAUCCCUUCCAGGUAGGCUACUCUCUUCCUCUUCUCCCAUUGGCGGAGAAAUUCUGUUGCUACUAUGGCAUGUGCCCGGCUCAACGUGCCCCAUAUAUCGACAAGCUCAUCAAGAUGCUUACUAAAUUUGCAGAGUUGGCGGGGUCGGGAUCAUUCUUCGGCAUCUGAUGCAUCUCUUCGCCCCUAGUUUCUAUAGGGGGAAAAUAAUGAACCUUCGUCAUCGAGGUGUCAAAUGCCUGGUGGUGAAUAUGGAUGACAAGGCAAAUCGUUAGUUCUUGCACAACUUCUUCUUUGUCAGAACCGAAGACAUGGUGGCCAAAGCGGACGGCUUCCCCGAGACUUGGAAUUACACUCGUAAGUGUCUAUUCUUCUUUUGUUAAAAACAUUUGAUCUGUUUGUUUUAUUCGUAGGCUCCAAAAUUUUGUCCCUUCUUCGUGCAGCCAAGACUACGCCCCCUCCUUUGGUCGGGGAAAUUUCUGACUGGGUUGGCCGGAUUCUACCUCACAUCGUGGGAAUUUGUGAGUGGCCGAGCUUUUUCAAGAAGUUUGGGCAUGCUCCUUCCUUGGCCGACGAGUUUAUCUAUAUAUUUUUGUUGUCUUGACGUCAUGGUCGCCUACUUAUUGUAGUUUGCUCUUGGUAGUAGUGAUAACCUUACUUUGACUUUUCUUUUUCAGCCCGAGGAUCUUCGAGAAGGAAGGUUGUCUUUGCUUCGGCUUCUAUUCCCACUGUGACCGUGGCUAGGUAUGCUCGAUCGUCUGCUUUUGUUUCUUCCUCAAGCGCUGCUAGGUCUGCUCGACUGUCAGCCCCAUCUACUGCUGCCUUAGUAUCCUUUUCUUCUCUGCCUACAGAUAUUUCGACAGCGGAGCUUCCAACUUCCCCUUUGCACCGUCUAGUGGACGACGAGGAGGAGUCAUUGCCGAGCGGCGAGAAUUUUGUUCCCCGUAAGAGAAGAUCGGUGGACGUUGGUGAUAGGGUUGCCUGGGCUGUAGAUUUGGUAAGGGAUGAUUUUGUCAUCUGUGAGACGGUGGCCAUAAUACUUGAGGACAACGUCGAGCUGGUGUCUGAUAUUCCGACAUCAACGGAGGCCAUUGAGGGCAUGCCUCUUCCCUUUGCAGCGGUAGGGGUCGAAGGGCCGGCCGUUGUGGCUUCUGAUAAUUUGCGGUAGGAGGGGUCACCGACUUUGCAGCCAGCUAACGAUGCUUAUUCGCCAGCCGAUGGGAGAGGCAAAGGCAUUACCGAUUAAGGCCACGAGACUGGUUCUGAUCUCGAUGCUGACGAGAUGCAUAUGAUGGAUGAGGGAUUUGCCCAGCUGGAGGUGAGACUGGAGGGGUCCACGUGGACUAUUGCGAUCCCCAUAGAAUGGGACCUAUUAAAAGAUACGGAGAACGUGGUUCCUGCCCUCGGUCCCCUUUGCUCCGACGUGGAUGGUCAAACUCUCCAAGAGUUGAAUCAUGCUACUUUAUCGAUAAGCAUAGCGGACCUCGCUCUCAAGGUAAGAUUUUCGACGCUUCUCAUUUCUGUUCGUUAUGCUCAAUGUUUAGGCUUCGUUCUUGCUCUGCUUGCUUUCUUUUUCUCUCUUUUUCAGAUUGUGAUCUUGGAAAUUGAAAGCACCCAAAGAGAGGAGUGGCGUAAGGCUAUUUUUAUGCAGUUGCACAGAAAAUACCACGAGUGCUGUGGCAAGCACCGGGAAAUUUGUAGGAGGGUUCGGUAAGAGCAACAAUUUUCAGGCUCUUCAAGAUGAACUAAAGGAGAAGGAUGACGAGCUGGCGAGGGUCAUCAAAAAGUGCAGCAUCCUUGAGGGGACGUUAAGAAAUAAAUAGGAAGAGCUCGAGGCUAGUAUGGGGGUCAAAGCCCAGUGCGGCGACCUCCAAGCCCACGUGGUUUCUCUGAGCGCCCAACUUGAGGAAUGGCAAUUCAAAGCGGAUGCUCUAGGCGUCAAGGUCACCGAGAAGGCAGAGGACCUUGAGAAAGCAGAGUUUGCUCGGUCGGGGGCUCUGAGGAAGGCGGGAGAUUUGGAGGUAGUGAUCCGUAUUCUUCGCUCUGAGCGAGAAAGUAACUUGGAGAUGACCAAGCUUAAAGAAAAGCAUCUUGAUGAGAGGAUUAGGGAGUUGGAGAAAGACAACUCCCUCCAUCAGGAUCAGGUGACCACCUUAGAGGCCGAGAAGGCUCAUAUGCUUACGAAACUGUCAUCUUCUCAUACUUCAAAUUUCCCAAACGUUCCCCGAGGCCUGUACGAGGAAUAGAUUCACGCUGAGGCCCAGUUGGAAGUAUUUCGAGAUGUGCAUGGGCGGGUUCUGUUCCUAGGGAUGCCCUUGAAGAUGCUCGAUUUAAGGCCCGUAAAGCUCGAAUCACUUGCGGGUAUGAUCAUGUUAUACCGUAGGCCGGUAACGAUGAGAGGGACGUGAAUGUGGAUCAGAUUGAAGAGGACUCCUAUUACAAGGACACAUACCCUGAGGGCGGUGGUGAUGGUGAUGGGGCAGAUGGAGACGACCCAAAGUCAAGCCGAUGGCACUGAUGGUCCUGGUGGCGACCAAUAGUUUUUCUUUUUCCUUCACUUAUUUUGCUGCAAACUUGUGUGUUUUUUGUAGGCAUCUUUACAAGCCUUUGUAAAAAUAUUUUAAGUAUGAAAUGUCGACUUUGUUAUUUGUACCUGAUUUUUUUUUUUGGUUCGUGCUUGUAUGCUUUUUGAUUUUCUCGCUUUGUUGCCUUGAUUUUCUUAGCCGUAAUCACUUAGCUCGAAUAAGGUUGAACAUAUCCUAAGUUUAAUUACGGACGAGGGUCAGCAGGUGUUAGUUUGAAUAAGGUCAAACCGAAACCUAAGUUUGAUUAUGGCCGAGGGCCAGUAGAUGUUAGUUCGAACGAGGUCGAACAUAUCCUAUAUUUAAUUAUGGCUGAGGGCCAGUAGAUGUCAGUUCAAAUGAGGUCGAACAUAUCCUAUGUUUAAUUAUGGCUGAGGUCUAGUUAGGUGUUAAUUCAAACAAGGUCAAACAUAACCUAUGUUUAGUUUGAGGGCUAGUUAGGUGUUAAUUCGAACGAGGUCGAAUAUAACCUAUGUUUGGUUAUGGCCGAGGGACAAUUAGGUGUUAAUUCGAACGAGGUCGAAUAUAACAUAUGUUUGGUUGUGGCCGAGGGCUAGUUAGGCGUUAAUUUGGAUGAGAUCAAAUAUGCCUCUAGGUACGACAGUUGUCGACGUUGUGAUCUUUAAGGCAUUCAGAGAAAUAGAAAUAAACUUCAUGCAUUGGUGCUUUGUUCAUACACUUGGAGAAAUUUACAUCUUUUUUCGGGCAUUGGCUGGUGUUCCAGUUCCAGUCCUAGUCUAUCUAGUCCCUUCAUUGGUCGAGCUGGAGAAGUCUUGAUAGGUUGAGCAAUGAAAUAGUUGCCAUGUGCCUGCGUCUAUGCGCACUUCGACCCCCUUCGUCGCCUCGUUAAAAACCUUCUUGAGAAAACCCAAUUGGUACAAAACUCAAAUGAGGGGAAAACGAGUAUGACUUGGGGGACGCUUUAUCUCUUAAAAUUUGAAGUACUUGAGGCGGGUAAUAUUCCGGUUGUUUAGUAGUAGCUUUCCUUCCAUUGUUUCUAGUUGGAAUGACACUUUGUUAGUUGUUGCCGUGAUUUGUACGGGCCAUCCCAAUUUGUUCCCAGUUUACCUUCCCGUGGGUCUUUGCUUGGUUAUGUUUUAGCUUUAAGCACGUAGUCCUCGUCUUUGAGUGGCUUGACUUUUGCCUUUUUGUUAUAAUAGCAUUCUACUUGUUAUUUUUGGGCGAUCAUCCUUACGUAGGCCAUAUCUCUUUGUUCUUCGACUUCGUCGAGCUCUUACCUUCUACAUUCAUUGUUCCUUGGUCCGCUCUCAUGGGAGUAUUUUAGGCUGGGCUCCUCGACUUUGACAAGUAUUACUACAUGUCCCAUAGACUAAUGAGUAAGGCAUCUCUCCUAUGCUCGUCUUCGGCAUUGUUCAGUAGGCCCAGAGUACUUCUGGUAAUAUUUCCGGCUAUAACCCUUUGGCGUCUUCAAGUUUUUUCUUCAUGAUGUUCAAUAUCGACUUGUCGGAGGAUUCCACUUCUCUGUUGCCUGCGGAAUGAUAUGGCGUUGAGAGUAUUCCUUUGAUAUACCAUUUUUCAAAAAAUUCAGCGACCUUAUUUCUUGUAAAUUGGGGCAUAUUAUCGCAACUGAUCUCUUUGGGGAGGCCGAAUCGGCAACGAUGUUUUUCCAUAUGAAGGCGAUCACUUCCUAUUCACAUAUUUGGACAAAUUCUCCUGUUUCUACUCAUUUAGAGAAAUAGUCAAUCAAAACCAAAAGGAAUCGCACAUUACCUCGUCCUGCCGGGAGGGGGCCUAUGAUGUCCAUUCCCUAUUUAAUGAACGACCAAGGAGAAGUGACUGAGUGGAGGUGUUCGCCUGCUUGGUAAAUCAUUAGGGCAUACUUUUGGCAUUGCUCACAUUUUUCACGAAGUCCACGACCUCUUUUUUCAUGGUGGGCCAGUAAUACCCUACCCGUAUAUGACAUCUGACAAAAGCUUGAUUGCCAGAAUGAUCUCUGCAAUGGCCUUCGUAGGCCUCUUCUGAACGUGUCGCGUCUGAUUUGGGCCCAAGCAUUUUGCUAGAGCGCCAUCGUAUGUUCUCUUAUGCAGGUCAUUGUGGAUGAUGCUUUACCUAGCCGUUUGCAUUCUCAGCUUUUUGGCCUCUUUUUAUCACCUGGGAGUACAUUGUUCUGCAAAUAUGUGACAAAACAGUUGCGCCAGUCCCAUGUCAGGUUUACGGUUCUUACCUCGAUUAGGUCUAUUGAUGAGUUAAGAAGGUGGACCACACUUCUAUCUUCGGUUGCAAUAUUUUUUGGGGCUGUGGCUAAUUUGGCGAGGUCGCCCGCCUCGGUAUUCUAUGCUCGGGGGAUUUGGUCGAGUUGGCAUUCGUCAAACUCGGGCAGCAGCUUGCAGAUUUUGGUCUGGUACUUUUGCAACCUUUGUUCCUUGAUUUAGAAAGUCCCUGUGACUUGGUUGACAAUGAGUUGAGAAUCACAGCGCAGUCUUAAUUGUUUUGCCCCGUAUUUGAGUGCUAGUCUUAACCCUGCAAUUGUGGCCUCAUACUCGGCCUGAUUGUUAGUCAUGUCUAGGCACCUUAUAGACUAGCGAAUCACUUUUUCGGUUGGGACUUCGAGUACGAGUCCCAGUUCACACUCUGACGCUUUGGACGUGCCGUCAGUGUAUAGGAUUCAUAGGUCUUGUGUUUGCGGAGAAGCGUGGACGGCUUCUUUUUCGACUUUGGGCAUUAUUUUUGCGCUGAGUCAGCGACGAAUUCUGCAAGGACUUGUAACUUUAUCACUGUUCGUGGCUGAUAUGUGAUAUCGUGCUCGCUCAGUUCGAUGGCAUAUUUGGCCAACCUUCCCAAUAGCUCGGGUUUAUGCAAAAUGCUUCUUAGGGGGAAAGUCGUGACAACCGAGGUAGGGUGGCAUUGGAAAUAUGUCUAAGCUUUCGCAAAGCUACGACUAAGGCCGGAGCCAAUUUUUUGAGGUGAGGGUAUCUCGUCUCGGUGUCGACUAGUGUUCUGCUAAUGUAAUAGAUGUGAGACUGCAUACCUUUAUUUUCUCGGACCAAGACUGGGCUCACCGUUACUUCGGAUACUGGGAGUUAGACGAGGAGACGUCCCCCCUGCUUUGGUUUUGAAAGUAAUGGUAGCGAUGACAAAUAUGCUUUUAAUUCCUUUAGGGCUUGGACACGCUUAGAAGUCCAUUGGAGGCCGUUAUCCUUCUUGAGUACCCCGAAGAAUCUGUGACACCUAUCCGAUGAUCGCAAAAUGAAUCUUGGAAGGGUGGCGAUAUGGCUAGUUAGUCUCUAAACCUGUUUUUUGGUGGUUAGGUGUUCUGGUAUCCCUUCAAUGGCUCUGAUUUGAUUAGGAUUGACCUCGAUCACUCGUUCUGACACCAGAAAACCUAGAAAUUUUUCUGAGGCCACGCCGAAUGCACACUUUUCAGGAUUCAGUUUCAUUCUGUACCGUCUAAAUAUGUUGAAUGUUUCUUUUAAGUGGUCGAUGUGAUCUUCUUUCCUUUUGGACUUGACCAACAUGUCAUCUAUAUAGACUUCCAUUGUUUUGCCGAGUUGGUCUUUGAACAUCCUCGUCACUAACCUUUGGUAAGUUGCCCCUGCAUUUUUCAACCCGAAGGGGAUGACCCUAUAGCAGUACGCCCCCUGGUGGGUGAUGAAAGUGGUUUUCUCCUGAUCCUCUUCUUCCACGAGGAUCUGAUUAUAGCCCGAGCAGGCGUCCAAUAAGCUUAGUAGUUCAUGCAUGGCCAUUGAGUCGAUGAGUUGGUCAAUAUGAGGUAAUAGAAAUGAAUACUUUGGGCAUGCUUUGUUCAAAUUUGUGAAAUCUACGCAUAUCUGUCAUGUCCUAUUCUUCUUUUUCACCAUGACCACGUUGGCGACCCAUUGGGGGUAUUUCGACUCCUCGACUAAGCCAUUUUCUAGUAGUUUUUCCACCUUUUUGUGUACUGCAUCAUUAAUUGCGGAGUUAAACUUACGUCUAACCUACCUCAUCGGGGGUUGGAAUGGAUCGAUGUUCCGUUUGUGCAUGGAGAUUUCCUUUGGGAUACCUGGCAUAUUUGCAUGGCUAAAAGCACACAAGUCCGCGUUAGUAGUUAAGAAUUGACGAAACUUACCCGGUUCCUGAAGUUUGCAGCCUAUGCAAGCUUUCUUUUUAUGGUCGUUGCUAUCUAGUUGAACGGGGUCGCAAUCUUCUACAGUCGAUCCCGUAGCUUUGACCAUAUCGGGGUCUCUGAUGAAAUCCUCUCUAUCAUCACAUAUCGACCUCGACCCUAUUGAUUGCUUUUCCUCUUUUUCUUUGUCCUUCGUUUAUUGAGUGACCGUGUCUAGGGAGAUGCGGUAGCAUUCCCGCAAUGUGUGUUGUUCCCCUCGUAUAUUAAAUAUUCCCCAUAGAGUUGGGAAUUUGAUGACUUGGUACAAUCUGGAAAGGAUGGCUCUCACAUUGUGUAUCCAUGGUCAUCCUAUUAUAGUGUUAUACGAUGUAUCUUAGUCCAUGAUAUGGAACGUGGUUUCCAGAGUUAUGCCGGCCAGGACGGGGAGUGUGAUUUCGCCAGAUAUUCGCUCAACUGCAUUGUUAUAACAUGUUAGUGUGAUGAAAUGCGACACUAUCUUAUCUUUGAGUUUCAUUUGUGCAAGUACUCGAGGGUGUAUAAUGCACGCGCCGCUCCCAUCGUCUACCAUAAUGCGUCUCACAUCGGUAUCUAAAAUUUGUAAAGUGAUAACAAGGGCAUCAUAGUGAGGGAAAGCCAAACCGUUAGUAUCUGAAUUAUCGAAGAUGAUACUUUCUUCGAGUUCAUCAUACCGUUCGUGGGUGAUUAACCGUUUGAGCUUGUGGGUUGUGGUGAACUUCACACUGUUGAUGGAAGCAUCGUCGCCGCCGCCACUAAUCAUAUGGACAGUGCGGGUAGACAAGGGCGGUUUCGAUGGUCCUUGAUGUUGUUCACGUUCUCUGGAAAUGUUGGUCCAUCCCUGGUUGCUCAGCAACUCUUUGAGGUGUCCCUGUCGUAGCAUGUUUACGACCUCCUAUCUUAGGGCGAUGCAUUCCUCGGUUUUGUGUCCUCGCUCUUGGUGGAACUCGCAAAAGGCGUCUGAUUUUCUAGUACUCGGGUCUGACCUCAUCUUUUAUGGCCACUUCACCCUUGGUCCGAGCUUCUCCAAGGUGUAGACUAUUUCUGUAGGUGACCCACAAAAAUUGUGAAUGGAUAAUAAAUGGGGCAUACCUCUUUUGUACCGGUGAGUCCUUGUCCUUGAUCUGGGUGGGCCCUCUUCGUGGCGGGAGGAGGACAUAAUGGCGGUUCUGACAUUUGGUAGAUGUUGUUCCUAUCACACCUCCUUUUUCCUACACCCCGAAAGGGUAGAAGGGAGUUUUUCCAAUUUAAGUUACAAUCGAAACGAGAUUAUUUAUUUAAUAUCGGAGUCGCCACUUGGGAUAAUUUAUGGUGUCCAAAGUCACCGGUUUAAAUCCCGAAUCGAUGAAAGGAUUGACUCUGUAUUACAGUCUGCGAUCACAGAAAUCCGGGUAAGGAAUUCUAUUAAUCCGGAAGAAGGUGUUAGGCAUUCCCGAGUUCCGUGGUUCUAGCACGGUCGCUCAACUGUUAUAAUUGGCCUAUUGUCUGAUUUAAUACAUAUUUUAACCUAUGGUUCAAUGUUAACUUUAUAACCGCUUUUAAUUAUUUGAUUAUUCGUAAUUAAAGAAUUGAGCUACGCGUACAUAUACUCUUUUCCUUUGACGCGUCAAAAAUCAUGUCACGCGAACGUAUCCACAAUUAAUAAUGCUUUGUUUAUUUUAUUAAGAAAAGUUUGACCGAAGUUGCGCGAACGCAUACAUCGAUUUAUUUUUAGAAAUCGCAAUCAUAUUACGCGAACGUGUCCACAACUGCGAUGAUAUAUUAAAUGGGCCUAAAGCAAACUACGAACAUUUGUUAUUUAUGGAAACUUGGUCAACUUUAGUUAUAGAAAGUUUUUUCUUUUUUGAUUUGGAAAUUUGGUCCAUUUAUUAGAUGAACAUUCCGACGAAAAAUUAUUCUCAAGCCCAUUUCUCAAUCACUCAUCUUGACCAAACAGAACCCUAUGAGUCAAAAGUCUUUUAAUUACUACUAAGAAGCAAACAACGACCCACAACAUCAAUUAAAAAACCUAAAUUUUCAUUUAAUAUACAACAAGAUCAUAUGGCUCAAAUCCAGUGCAACUACUAUGUUUGGUUUCUUUUUAGUGUUUCUUAUUUUUUAACUUUCACAUCAAAUUAGUUGCCAUGCUCUUCUAUUAUGCACAAGAUGGAAAAUUAAGAUGAAAUUAAUUCAAAUAGCUCAUCACCGAUUAAAACAUUAAAUGUAAUAUAUCAAACCCUUCCCAAAAAUUAAAUUAUAAAAAAAAUAAAACAGUGAACUCUUCUGAAAUCCUUAAAAGAGCAAAACUAGACAGUAGAUAACUUAAACCUUUGGAGAACAAUUGUAUAAUAUAUGAAGUUUUGGAGACUAGUUUUCAGAACUUAGCUAAAUUCUAAGAUGCACAGUGCCAAGCGCGGGAAUCAACAUUAAAACAAGGCUGCUGCAACUUCCCGAAUAUAACUCAAUAACAUGCUAAAUACAUAACCAUCAAAUCCAUAAUACAAUAAAUCAAGCACGAGAAGGAUAAAGCUAAGAGAAACAGAUAUGAAAAUCACAGAGCAAAUAAAGUUUAAAAAUUGGGCAUUUCAUCGACUUCAAAAUUGCAACUUAUAAUACGAACCGGAAAUGACCGCAAUGGAACAGGAACUCGACGACCUCGAAGCUCGCCGGAAAUUGAUGAACCUCGGUCGAACCCCGACUUUUCAGUGAUAACUGAAACGAAUGAUUGUUAUCAUCGGAAUUUCUCACUCUGUUUCUACCCGUUCACCCCUGUAUUAGGCUAGCUCUUUUCUCUUGUGUCUAUCUAAUUUCCUAGCUUUUUUCCUGUGUGUUUGGCAUUUGGCUGGGUUUUUUAAAGGGGGGGGGGGGUCUAUGGCUGUUGAAGGUGUAAGAAAAGAAGAACCAGAUUUUUUGAUUUCUUCCCCCUCCUCUCUCUCUAUCUCCAACCUUAUAUCCUUUUCUGAUCUCUAAUGUGUGUACCAUGUGGGGUCCAAUGCAUAAAGUAAAAAUGUGAAACAAAAUUGGCAUGCCAUUUUCAAACGUGAGUGUGCACUGCAUUGUGGAAGAAUGAUGGUGAGG
RNAcentral lists this long non-coding RNA (12777 nucleotides) under Nicotiana tabacum (common tobacco). RNAcentral describes it as "long non-coding RNA (NTAB_LNC019028)". The record is from RNAcentral. Lineage: Eukaryota; Viridiplantae; Streptophyta; Magnoliopsida; Solanales; Solanaceae.